This 234-nucleotide long non-coding RNA is filed under the name Elaeis guineensis (African oil palm). RNAcentral's name for it is "long non-coding RNA (EGUI_LNC036133)". The record is from RNAcentral. Lineage: Eukaryota; Viridiplantae; Streptophyta; Magnoliopsida; Arecales; Arecaceae.
CUGGUAUUAAAUGCGUGUUGGGAAGUGGUGGCUAUGUGGAUCCAUCGAACAAGAUGGUGUGCUCUAUAUCGGAUUUUCUAUAUUUCAUAUAGCGCACAAAAAAAUUUCUCUCCAAAAUAACCAAAAUUAUAUUGAUGUUUUGUAUAAAAUACCUACGUCUCGUUUAGUCAUAUACAAGGAAAAGAACUGUGCCAUGCAUGGGAAGAUACAAUUAAUAGAUAGAUGUUGGAUGUU